UAUGUUGUUGAACUUUUAACUGGAUAUGUU
RNAcentral lists this non-coding RNA (30 nucleotides) under Rattus norvegicus (Norway rat). Lineage: Eukaryota; Metazoa; Chordata; Mammalia; Rodentia; Muridae. The record is from RNAcentral.